Molecule: non-coding RNA, 52 nt
Organism: Papio anubis (olive baboon)
Lineage: Eukaryota; Metazoa; Chordata; Mammalia; Primates; Cercopithecidae
Source: Rfam
UUUUAAGUAUAAGUAUGCCCCAUGCAACAUUUGAGGCAUACUUAUACUGAAA